AUACAUGCAAGUCGAGCGGACAGAAGGGAGCUUGCUUCCCGGAUGUUUAGCGGCGGACGGGUGAGUAACACGUGGGUAACCUGCCUGUAAGACUGGGAUAACUCCGGGAAACCGGAGCUAAUACCGGAUAGUUCCUUGAACCGCAUGGUUCAAGGAUGAAAGACGGUUUCGGCUGUCACUUACAGAUGGACCCGCGGCGCAUUAGCUAGUUGGUGAGGUAACGGCUCACCAAGGCGACGAUGCGUAGCCGACCUGAGAGGGUGAUCGGCCACACUGGGACUGAGACACGGCCCAGACUCCUACGGGAGGCAGCAGUAGGGAAUCUUCCGCAAUGGACGAAAGUCUGACGGAGCAACGCCGCGUGAGUGAUGAAGGUUUUCGGAUCGUAAAGCUCUGUUGUUAGGGAAGAACAAGUGCAAGAGUAACUGCUUGCACCUUGACGGUACCUAACCAGAAAGCCACGGCUAACUACGUGCCAGCAGCCGCGGUAAUACGUAGGUGGCAAGCGUUGUCCGGAAUUAUUGGGCGUAAAGGGCUCGCAGGCGGUUUCUUAAGUCUGAUGUGAAAGCCCCCGGCUCAACCGGGGAGGGUCAUUUGGAAACUGGGAAACUUGAGUGCAAAAAAGGAGAGU
This 631-nucleotide ribosomal RNA is filed under the name Bacillus sp. (in: firmicutes). RNAcentral describes it as "bacterial SSU rRNA". It matches the Rfam family "Bacterial small subunit ribosomal RNA", at positions 51 to 662 of the family's 1533-position model. The record is from RNAcentral. Lineage: Bacteria; Bacillati; Bacillota; Bacilli; Caryophanales; Bacillaceae.